GAUGAAGAACGUAGCGAAAUGCGAUACUUGGUGUGAAUUGCAGAAUCCCGUGAACCAUCGAGUCUUUGAACGCAAGUUGCGCCCGAAGCCAUUAGGCCGAGGGCACGCCUGCCUGGGCGUCACACGUCGUUGCCCCCCCAUCUACUCCUUCGGGAUUGCGGGGGGCGGAUGAUGGCCUCCCGUGCGCCUCGUCGCGCGGUUGGCAUAAAUGCCAAGUCCUCGGCGACGCACGCCACGACAAUCGGUGGUUGCGACACCUCGGUUGCCCGUCGUGUGCGGUCGUCGCGCAUCGAGGGCUCGAAAAAAUUGCCGGGCUCCGGCUCGGCUUUCAACGCGACCCCAGGUCAGGCGGGGUUACCCGCUGAAUUUAAGCAUAUCAAUAAGCGGAGGA
This 391-nucleotide unclassified non-coding RNA is filed under the name soil metagenome. RNAcentral describes it as "partial contains 5.8S ribosomal RNA, internal transcribed spacer 2, and large subunit ribosomal RNA". The stretch from base 1 to 122 matches the Rfam family "5.8S ribosomal RNA", at positions 35 to 154 of the family's 154-position model. The record is from RNAcentral.